GCCCAGAUGGCGGAAUUGGUAGACGCGCUAGAUUCAGGUUCUAGUGUCCGAGAGGACAUGGGAGUUCGACUCUCCCUUUGGGCACCA
Molecule: transfer RNA, 87 nt
Filed under: Magnetococcales bacterium
Lineage: Bacteria; Pseudomonadati; Pseudomonadota; Magnetococcia; Magnetococcales
Description: tRNA-Leu
Rfam family: tRNA
About the family: Transfer RNA (tRNA) molecules are approximately 80 nucleotides in length. Their secondary structure includes four short double-helical elements and three loops (D, anti-codon, and T loops).
Source: RNAcentral